GCAGUGAAGGAGUUAAUCUUAGGGUACAUAUUUAAUAUUAUUCUGAACAAAGUGACUAUUCUGGAAUGGCUGGAUGGUUUUGUUGUUUUGCCAUUGUAGUAGUGCAAUUUCUUUGGCACGAAGCUUUAAUUUAACUACAUUUUUAACAUGCAAAUACUUUCUUUUGAAAAACAUUUAUCAUUGUCAUUCAGGUCCAAGAUGUUUAUAGUCAUUCAUUGCAUUUAGAAUCAAGCUUUGCAAAUUGAUGAUUUGUUGACCAUUGUGCCUCAUGUUGAGUUAUGAAUUGAUUUUUUUAAUGAAAACAAGGUCAAUGCUCGUCUUUCUUUUUCUCUCUCUCUCUCCGUAUCUCUGUUUCCAUUAUCUAUU
Molecule: unclassified non-coding RNA, 366 nt
Filed under: Hevea brasiliensis (rubber tree)
Lineage: Eukaryota; Viridiplantae; Streptophyta; Magnoliopsida; Malpighiales; Euphorbiaceae
Source: RNAcentral